AGGCCAAUGACUCUGGCUUGGCUUCGUAUGUUGCUGGUCAAAUUGACCGUACCUUGAGCUGGAAGG
RNAcentral lists this small RNA (66 nucleotides) under Arabidopsis thaliana (thale cress). RNAcentral's name for it is "ATSL138270". The record is from RNAcentral. Lineage: Eukaryota; Viridiplantae; Streptophyta; Magnoliopsida; Brassicales; Brassicaceae.